GGGGUGUGGCGGAACGGUAUACGCAGCAGUUUAGAAAACUGUGGGUCUCACGGCCAUACGGGUUCGAAUCCCGUCACCCCCC
This 82-nucleotide transfer RNA is filed under the name Chloroflexota bacterium. Its description in RNAcentral is "tRNA-Ser". It matches the Rfam family "tRNA". Rfam says of the family: Transfer RNA (tRNA) molecules are approximately 80 nucleotides in length. Their secondary structure includes four short double-helical elements and three loops (D, anti-codon, and T loops). Further hydrogen bonds mediate the characteristic L-shaped molecular structure. tRNAs have two regions of fundamental functional importance: the anti-codon, which is responsible for specific mRNA codon recognition, and the 3' end, to which the tRNAs corresponding amino acid is attached (by aminoacyl-tRNA synthetases). tRNAs cope with the degeneracy of the genetic code in two manners: having more than one tRNA (with a specific anti-codon) for a particular amino acid; and 'wobble' base-pairing, i.e. permitting non-standard base-pairing at the 3rd anti-codon position. Lineage: Bacteria; Bacillati; Chloroflexota. The record is from RNAcentral.